RNAcentral lists this unclassified non-coding RNA (341 nucleotides) under soil metagenome. RNAcentral's name for it is "partial contains 5.8S ribosomal RNA, internal transcribed spacer 2, and large subunit ribosomal RNA". The stretch from base 1 to 120 matches the Rfam family "5.8S ribosomal RNA", at positions 35 to 154 of the family's 154-position model. The record is from RNAcentral.
GAUGAAGAACGUAGUAAAAUGCGAUAAGUAGUGUGAAUUGCAGAAUUCAGUGAAUCAUCGAAUCUUUGAACGCACAUUGCGCCCUUUGGUAUUCCAAAGGGCAUGCCUGUUCGAGCGUCAUUUGUACCCUCAAGCUUUGCUUGGUGUUGGGCGUCUUGUCUCUAGCUUUGCUGGAGACUCGCCUUAAAGUAAUUGGCAGCCGGCCUACUGGUUUCGGAGCGCAGCACAAGUCGCACUCUCUAUCAGCAAAGGUCUAGCAUCCAUUAAGCCUUUUUUUCAACUUUUGACCUCGGAUCAGGUAGGGAUACCCGCUGAACUUAAGCAUAUCAAUAAGCGGAGGA